UGCACACUAGGCAUGGAGAAGAUUGGCCCGAGUCAUCUCCAGGGCCUUGCUACAAACCAAGAAAAACAAAGUUAGGAAAAUGACUACAAUUCAGAAUAAAGGAAAGCAAAACGAGGGAAGUAAUAUACCUAAAUGUAGCAUGAUGGCUUAGAAUGAGGGGUAGUGACUCCUGGUUGCUGGGGGGAUCACUCCCAUUGACUGGAGAAGGAAGAAUUAUGCCCGAGCCCUCACCAAAUGCCUAUAAAUUUCAAAGAUAAAGAGUAAAUAUCAGUAACUAAGUUAUGGAAAAGAAGAUGGAAGUGAAGGUACUUCUAUACCUAAGCAGAGACUUAAGUAAAAAAAGGAAG
Molecule: long non-coding RNA, 347 nt
Filed under: Malus domestica (apple)
Lineage: Eukaryota; Viridiplantae; Streptophyta; Magnoliopsida; Rosales; Rosaceae
Description: long non-coding RNA (MDOM_LNC002436)
Source: RNAcentral